Molecule: transfer RNA, 72 nt
Filed under: Camelus bactrianus (Bactrian camel)
Lineage: Eukaryota; Metazoa; Chordata; Mammalia; Artiodactyla; Camelidae
Also listed under: 2 other names
Rfam family: tRNA
About the family: Transfer RNA (tRNA) molecules are approximately 80 nucleotides in length. Their secondary structure includes four short double-helical elements and three loops (D, anti-codon, and T loops).
Source: Rfam by way of RNAcentral
GAGGGUUUAGCUCGGUGGUAGAGCACAUGCUUAGUGUGCAUGAGGACCGGGGGUCAAUCCCCAGCACCUCCA